Molecule: long non-coding RNA, 473 nt
Organism: Procambarus clarkii (red swamp crayfish)
Lineage: Eukaryota; Metazoa; Arthropoda; Malacostraca; Decapoda; Cambaridae
Source: RefSeq, a predicted model, not a curated record
UUCUCACUGAAGCUACCACUCGUGCAAUUUUGAUUGGUGAUUGUGACUUAGUCCUCCUCGUGAUCUACGGCAAGAAAGUUGAUUGUGGCCAUACCUGUUGGAGUAGUAAAGACAAACGUUCAAAUUGCUCUUCUUGAUGUAACCCCCAAGCUGUAGGCUGCUGUUAUUUUAAGAGGUGGAGACGCAUUAUCUGAAAUGGCUGUUGCAAUGUAUUGAAAUUAAAUUUUAUUAAAAACUCUGGGUUAGUUGAAGUCACUUAUUGUAAAUAGUGAUAUUGUGGUGUUUUAGAGUAGUUUCUCUAAUUUUAUUGAAACGAGCUUUUUCAGUGUUUUGGAAUGUUUAAUAAGGUUCUUGGCACCAUCUGUGUCUUGACUACAAAUUUACUUGUUACUAGAUUAUAAAUAUAUUGGUGUUCUGGGCAGUUUACCUUGUUUGAGCAACAAGGUGAUGCAAGGCAGUUUUUUUCCCAACUU